AAUAUAGGACACCCAACUAAAUCUGGAUUUCAGAUAAACAAGUUAUUUUUAGUAUAAGGAAGUCCUAUGCAAUAUUUGGGACAUACUUAUACUAAGAUGAUUUUCAUUGCUUAUUUGAAAUUUAAAUUUAACUGUGAAUCCUGUGCUUU
This 149-nucleotide microRNA precursor is filed under the name Dasypus novemcinctus (nine-banded armadillo). RNAcentral describes it as "miRNA (ENSDNOG00000026961.1)". The stretch from base 46 to 97 matches the Rfam family "mir-1302 microRNA precursor family". Lineage: Eukaryota; Metazoa; Chordata; Mammalia; Cingulata; Dasypodidae. The record is from RNAcentral.